Molecule: long non-coding RNA, 107 nt
Organism: Sander lucioperca (pikeperch)
Lineage: Eukaryota; Metazoa; Chordata; Actinopteri; Perciformes; Percidae
Exons: 3
Source: RefSeq, a predicted model, not a curated record
GUUAACGCCGUUACGCCCCAGUCUAGGGGUGCCUAGGACGCAACACGAAAAGGCCCCAUCUUCCCCGUCUCCCAAGUAGCCACAAACAAUUAGUAAAUCAGCUGUUU